ACUUGGGAGGUGCAGGAAACAAUAGCCUAAAGGUGAACAUUCUAGAACCCAAAUCGACCUCUUGGCCCACAACCCAAAACAAAGAACAAUCGAACAUCUUCCGUCUCCAGCGUUGCGUGUUAGAAACUUCGAAUCGAAACUUCACACAGCGAGAGAGAGAGAGAGAGAGAGAGAAUAGAGAAAGCAUGAAGCUCACAGACUCGCCGGGGAUCGAACUUCCGGUGAACGACGCCGUUUUGUCCCUUCAGCAAGACAACGGGUCCAUGCACGUGGGAACCUCCGUGUGGCCCUGCUCCCUCGUCCUCGUCAAAUUCGCGGAGCGCUGGGCCCCACCCUCUGACAUCAACAACAACAACCCUUAAGCCCGCGUGCUCGACUUCGAAGGCAAACGGGCCGUGGAACUCGGCACGGGCUGCGGCGUUGCGGGUAUGGGCCUCUACCUACUGGGCCUGACGGACCUGCUCCUCACCGUCAUCUUUCCCGUCAUGCCGGCCCUGAAACGCAACCUGAAAGUCAGCAAGCCCAUCCUCCGCAAGACCCUGAAACACUCCGUGCUCUACUGGAACAACCCGCAGCAGAUCGCAGCCCUAAACCCUCCCUUCGAUUUCGCCGUCGCGACGGACUUCGUUUACAUCCGCGAAUCCGUUCCUUCGCUUGUUUCUGCUAUGGAAACACUCGUCUACGACAACGGCGUCGUUUUGCUCGGGUACCGGCUUAGGUCACCCGAGGCGCACGAGCUUUUCUGGGAACUCUGUGAACGAGUCUUCCACGUUGAGAAAGUCCCGCACGAGCAUCUGCAUCCCGAUUAUGCUUACGAGGAAACCGAUGUUUAUCUUUUGGGGAAGAAAAACAAGAAACAGUGACUGAUUUUAGGUAAUUUAGAAAUUUAUGUUACAUUACAGUUCAGUGACUCAAAAAAAUAAUAUUUUUACUUUAUUGAGAUGGUUUUAGAAUAAAUUAAUGCACAAAAAAAAAAAAUAGAAAUUAGAAUAGCUAGCAGCAUUUGAAGAAUGUUGUGCUGGUUGUUUAAACGUCCGUGUCGUUGUCUGUUUGGUUUGGUGCACAAGAAUAAAAUUGGGGUCAGUCACCAACCGCAAGUUAAAUCCGUGAUCUCUGUUGACUGAAUUUUGGAUAUCGGAAUCAUGGAAAAAGGUUAAUUUUGUUUCAGGGUGAAAGAUGUUAUUUGUGUUCCUAUAGACUGUAAACUUAUUUGCAAGUUCACAACUCCUUGGAUCAUUUUAUAUAAGACGGGAAACUUUUGCAA
RNA transcript from Glycine soja, 1264 nucleotides. It is a transcript of the gene named protein N-lysine methyltransferase METTL21A-like, with no coding region annotated. NCBI's taxonomy places the organism in Eukaryota, Viridiplantae, Streptophyta, Magnoliopsida, Fabales, Fabaceae. The transcript has a single exon. The record is from RefSeq and is a predicted model, not a curated record.